GCCGGGCGUGGUGGCGCGUGCCUGUAGUCCCAGCUACUUGGGAGGCUGAGGUGGGAGGAUCGCUUGAGCCCAGGAUUUCUGGGCUGUAGUGCACUAUGCCAAUCAGGUGUCCGCACUAAGUUCGGCAUCAUAUGGUGACCUCCUGGGAGCGUGGGACCACCAGGUUGCCUAAGGAGGGGUGAACCAGCCCAGGUCGGAAACGGAGCAGGUCAAAAUUCCUGUGCUGAUCAGUAGUGGGACUGUGCCUGUGAAUAGCCACUGCACCUCAGCCUGGGCAACAUAGUGAGACCCUGUUUCU
This 298-nucleotide signal recognition particle RNA is filed under the name Cebus imitator (Panamanian white-faced capuchin). RNAcentral describes it as "Metazoan signal recognition particle RNA (ENSCCAG00000008329.1)". It matches the Rfam family "Metazoan signal recognition particle RNA". From Rfam's summary of the family: The signal recognition particle (SRP) is a universally conserved ribonucleoprotein. It is involved in the co-translational targeting of proteins to membranes. Lineage: Eukaryota; Metazoa; Chordata; Mammalia; Primates; Cebidae. The record is from RNAcentral.